UUUUUUUUAAAAAAGAAAUCUCUAUACAACUUUCAGCAACGGAUCUCUUGGCUCUCGCAUCGAUGAAGAACGCAGCGAAAUGCGAUAAGUAAUGUGAAUUGCAGAAUUCAGUGAAUCAUCGAAUUUUUGAACGCACCUUGCACUCCUUGGUAUUCUGAGGAGUAUGCCUGUUUGAGUGUCAUUAAAUAUAUAAUCAACCUCUUCAAGUUUUGCUUGUUGAGUGUUUGGAUUUGGGGGAUUAUGCUGGUCUUCUUAGGUCAGCUCUCCUGAAAUAUAUUAGCAGAACAAUUUGUUGACUGUUUAUUGAUGUGAUAACUAUCUACAUUAUUGACAGUAAUGUUAGUUCAGCUUCUUUAAUACCCAUUUUAUUAAUGUGACCUCAAAUCAGGUAAGACUACCCGCUGAACUUAAGCAUAUCAAUAAGCGGAGGAAAAGAAACUAACAAGGAUUCCCUUAGUAACUGCGAGUGAAGUGGGAAAAGCUCAAAUUUAAAAUCUGUCAGUCAUUGGCUGUCCGAGUUGUAAUCUAGAGAAGUGUUAUCCGCGCUGGACCGUGUACAAGUCUCCUGGAAUGGAGCGUCAUAGAGGGUGAGAAUCCCGUCUUUGGCACGGACUGCCAGGGCUUUUGUGAUGCGCUCUCAAAGAGUCGAGUUGUUUGGGAAUGCAGCUCAAAAUGGGUGGUAAAUUCCAUCUAAAGCUAAAUAUUGGCGAGAGACCGAUAGCGAACAAGUACCGUGAGGGAAAGAUGAAAAGAACUUUGGAAAGAGAGUUAAACAGUACGUGAAAUUGCUGAAAGGGAAACGCUUGAAGUCAGUCGCAUUGAUCGGGGAUCAACCCUUGCUUUUGCUUGGUGUACUUUUUUGGUUAAUGGGUCAGCAUCAAUUUUGACUAUUGGAGAAAGAUUAGGGGAAUGUGGCAUCUUUGGAUGUGUUGAUAGCCCCUAGUUGUAUACAAUGGUUGAGAUUGAGGAACUCAGCACGCCGCAAGGCCGGG
This 992-nucleotide ribosomal RNA is filed under the name Cortinarius aff. violaceus TH8539. Its description in RNAcentral is "eukaryotic LSU rRNA". The stretch from base 375 to 992 matches the Rfam family "Eukaryotic large subunit ribosomal RNA", at positions 1 to 622 of the family's 3401-position model. The record is from RNAcentral. Lineage: Eukaryota; Fungi; Basidiomycota; Agaricomycetes; Agaricales; Cortinariaceae.